Molecule: ribosomal RNA, 274 nt
Filed under: uncultured bacterium
Lineage: Bacteria
Description: partial 16S ribosomal RNA
Rfam family: Bacterial small subunit ribosomal RNA
Source: RNAcentral
AGACGAACCGUACGAACGUUAUUCGGAAUCACUGGGCUUAAAGGGUGCGUAGGCGGCAUAGCAAGUUGGGUGUGAAAUCCCUCGGCUCAACCGAGGAAUGGCGCCCAAAACUGCCUUGCUUGAGGGAGAUAGAGGUGAGCGGAACUACGGGUGGAGCGGUGAAAUGCGUUGAUAUCCGUAGGAACACCGGUGGCGAAAGCGGCUCACUGGGUCUCUUCUGACGCUGAGGCACGAAAGCUAGGGUAGCGAACGGGAUUAGAAACCCCAGUAGUCC